This 457-nucleotide ribosomal RNA is filed under the name uncultured bacterium. Its description in RNAcentral is "bacterial SSU rRNA". It matches the Rfam family "Bacterial small subunit ribosomal RNA", at positions 1 to 507 of the family's 1533-position model. The record is from RNAcentral.
GUCACGAGUUUGAUCAUGGCUCAGAUUGAACGCUGGCGGCAUGGCUAAAACAUGCAAGUCGAACGAUCCCUUCGGGGAGAGUGGCGAAAGGGCGAGGAAUAGAAUCGAAUGUACCCCAAGGUGGGGGAUAGCCUCUGGAAACGGAGGGUAAUACCCCAUGUGCUCUACGGAGGAAAGGUUUACCGCCUUGGGAGCAGCGAUUCUCCUAUCAGGUAGUUGGUGAGGUAACGGCUCACCAAGCCGAAGACGGGUAGCGGGUGUGAGAGCAUGACCCGCCGCAUCGGGACUGAGACACUGCCCGGACUCCUACGGGAGGCUGCAGUAACGAAUCUUCCGCAAUGGGCGAAAGCCUGACGGAGCAAUGCCGCGUGUGGGAUGAAGCAUCUUCGAUGUGUAAACCACUGUCAGGGUCUAGGAAUACUGACCAGACCCAAAGGAAGGGCCGGCUAAUUCCGUG